UACAGAGGGGGCAAGCGUUGUUCGGAAUUACUGGGCGUAAAGAGCGCGCAGGCGGCCGAGUAAGUCGAAUGUGAAAGCCCCCGGCUCAACUGGGGAAGGUCAUUCGAUACUGUUCGGCUUGAAGAUAGGAGAGGGAAGCGGAAUUUCAGGUGUAGUGGUGAAAUGCGUAGAUAUCUGAAGGAACACCAGUGGCGAAGGCGGCUUUCUGGCCUAUUCUUGACGCUGAGGCGCGAAAGCUAGGGGAGCGAACGGG
This 253-nucleotide ribosomal RNA is filed under the name uncultured bacterium. RNAcentral's name for it is "partial 16S ribosomal RNA". It matches the Rfam family "Bacterial small subunit ribosomal RNA", at positions 524 to 776 of the family's 1533-position model. The record is from RNAcentral.